Molecule: ribosomal RNA, 497 nt
Filed under: uncultured bacterium
Lineage: Bacteria
Description: partial 16S ribosomal RNA
Rfam family: Bacterial small subunit ribosomal RNA
Source: RNAcentral
GAUGAACGCUGGCGGCGUGCCUAAUACAUGCAAGUCGAGCGAACAGACGAGGAGCUUGCUCCUCUGACGUUAGCGGCGGACGGGUGAGUAACACGUGGAUAACCUACCUAUAAGACUGGGAUAACUUCGGGAAACCGGAGCUAAUACCGGAUAAUAUAUUAAACCGCAUGGUUCAAUAGUGAAAGACGGUUUUGCUGUCUCUUAUAGAUGGAUCCCCGCCGCAUUAGCUAGUUGGUAAGGUAACGGCUUACCAAGGCGACGAUGCGUAGCCGACCUGAGAGGGUGAUCGGCCACACUGGGACUGAGACACGGUCCAGACUCCUACGGGAGGCAGCAGUAGGGAAUCUUCCGCAAUGGGCGAAAGCCUGACGGAGCAACGCCGCGUGAGUGAUGAAGGUCUUCGGAUCGUAAAACUCUGUUAUUAGGGAAGAACAAAUGUGUAAGUAACUAUGCACGUCUUGACGGUACCUAAUCAGAAAGCCACGGCUAACUACGUG